GACGAACGCUGGCGGCGUGCCUAAUACAUGCAAGUAGAACGCACAGUUUAUACCGUAGCUUGCUACACCAUAGACUGUGAGUUGCGAACGGGUGAGUAACGCGUAGGUAACCUGCCUGGUAGCGGGGGAUAACUAUUGGAAACGAUAGCUAAUACCGCAUAAUAUUGAUUAUUGCAUGAUAAUUGAUUGAAAGAUGCUAUUGCAUCACUACCAGAUGGACCUGCGUUGUAUUAGCUAGUAGGUGAGGUAACGGCUCACCUAGGCGACGAUACAUAGCCGACCUGAGAGGGUGAUCGGCCACACUGGGACUGAGACACGGCCCAGACUCCUACGGGAGGCAGCAGUAGGGAAUCUUCGGCAAUGGACGAAAGUCUGACCGAGCAACGCCGCGUGAGUGAAGAAGGUUGUCGGAUCGUAAAGCUCUGUUGUAAGGGAAGAACGGGUGUGAGAGUGGAAAGUUCACACUGUGACGGUAUCUUACCAGAAAGGGACGGCUAACUACGUG
This 505-nucleotide ribosomal RNA is filed under the name uncultured bacterium. Its description in RNAcentral is "partial 16S ribosomal RNA". It matches the Rfam family "Bacterial small subunit ribosomal RNA", at positions 28 to 507 of the family's 1533-position model. The record is from RNAcentral.